CAGCAGCCGCGGUAAUACCCGCGGCCCGAGUGGUGGUCGAUAUUAUUGAGCCUAAAACGUCCGUAGCCGGUCUUGUAAAUCCUUGGGUAAAUCGACCAGCUUAACUGUUCGAAGUCCGGGGAGACUGCAAGACUUGGGAUCGGGAGAGGUGAGAGGUACUUCUGGGGUAGGGGUAAAAUCCUGUAAUCCUAGAAGGACCACCGGUGGCGAAGGCGUCUCACUAGAACGAAUCCGACGGUGAGGGACGAAGCCCUGGGGCGCAAACGGGAUUAGAUACCCCGGUAGUCCAGGGUGUAAACGCUGCGGGCUUGGUGUUGGGGGUCCUUUGAGGGCGCCCAGUGCCGGAGAGAAGUUGUUAAGCCUGCUGCUUGGGGAGUACGUCCGCAAGGAUGAAACUUAAAGGAAUUGGCGGGGGAGCACCGCAACGGGAGGAGCGUGCGGUUCAAUUGGAUUCAACGCCGGACAACUCACCAGGAGCGACGGUUACAUGAAGGCCAGGCUGAUGACCUUGCCUGAUUUUCCGAGAGGAGGUGCAUGGCC
Molecule: ribosomal RNA, 540 nt
Filed under: uncultured archaeon
Lineage: Archaea
Description: bacterial SSU rRNA
Rfam family: Archaeal small subunit ribosomal RNA
Source: RNAcentral